Molecule: ribosomal RNA, 468 nt
Filed under: uncultured bacterium
Lineage: Bacteria
Description: partial 16S ribosomal RNA
Rfam family: Bacterial small subunit ribosomal RNA
Source: RNAcentral
GACGAACGCUGGCGGCGUGCUUAACACAUGCAAGUCGUACGGAAAGGCCCUGCUUUUGUGGGGUGCUCGAGUGGCGAACGGGUGAGUAACCCGUGAGUAACCUGCCCUUGACUUUGGGAUAACUUCAGGCAACUGGGGCUAAUACCUGCUAGGAGCUCCUGCUGCAUGGUGGGGGUUGGACAGUUUCGGCGGAUGGGGCUGGACUCCCGGCUGAUCAGCUGGUUGGUUGGGGAGUUGCUUACCAAGGCUUUGACGGGUGGCCGGCCUGGGAGGGUGGCCAGCGACCUUGGUACUGAGAGAGGGCGCAGACUCGUACGGGAGGCAGCAGGGGGGAAUAUUGCACAGUGGGCGGAAGCCUGAUGCAGCAACGCCGCGUGCGUGAUGAAGGCCUUGUGGUUGUAAACCGCUGUCGCCUGUGACGAAGCGGGAGUGACGGUAAUGGGUAAAGAAGCACCGGCUAACUACGUG